RNAcentral lists this ribosomal RNA (356 nucleotides) under uncultured bacterium. RNAcentral's name for it is "bacterial SSU rRNA". It matches the Rfam family "Bacterial small subunit ribosomal RNA", at positions 527 to 881 of the family's 1533-position model. The record is from RNAcentral.
GNAGGGGGCAAGCGUUAUCCGGACUUACUGGGUGUAAAGGGAGCGUAGGCGGCGGAGCAAGUCAGAAGUGAAAGCCCGGGGCUCAACCCCGGGACGGCUUUUGAAACUGCCUGCUUUGAUUUCAGGAGAGGUAAGCGGAAUUCCUAGUGUAGCGGUGAAAUGCGUAGAUAUUAGGAGGAACACCAGUGGCGAAGGCGGCUUACUGGACUGACAAUGACGCUGAGGCUCGAAAGCGUGGGGAGCAAACAGGAUUAGAUACCCCGGUAGUCCACGCCGUAAACGAUGAAUACUAGGUGUCGGGGCUCAUAAGAGCUUCGGUGCCGCAGCAAACGCAAUAAGUAUUCCACCUGGGGAGU